Phodopus roborovskii (desert hamster) is the source of this 239-nucleotide long non-coding RNA. RefSeq lists it as uncharacterized. Lineage: Eukaryota; Metazoa; Chordata; Mammalia; Rodentia; Cricetidae. The transcript has 3 exons. The record is from RefSeq and is a predicted model, not a curated record.
GAAAACUCUGGUGGAUAACUUGGGGUUCAGGCUCAAAGACAACGAAUUUAAGGACCUGACACAGAAUCUCCCUACUGGUGUUCUUAGGAGGGUUUCUCUAGAUACACUGAUGAAAAAGUUGAAAGGUUUUACAGGAGACAAGGUUGACUCCAGUGACCUGAGAAACAUCUUAAAGAACCUGGGGAUUGAACUCACAGAGAAGGAACAAGAAAGAUUGCUGAAAAGCCUGCCCACUGAUG